RNAcentral lists this ribosomal RNA (274 nucleotides) under uncultured bacterium. RNAcentral's name for it is "partial 16S ribosomal RNA". It matches the Rfam family "Bacterial small subunit ribosomal RNA", at positions 523 to 796 of the family's 1533-position model. The record is from RNAcentral.
AUACAGAGGGUGCGAGCGUUAAUCGGAAUUACUGGGCGUAAAGCGCGCGUAGGCGGCUUAUUAAGUCAGAUGUGAAAUCCCCGGGCUCAACCUGGGAACUGCAUCUGAUUCUGGUAAGCUAGAGUUUGGGGGAGGGAAGUAGAAUUUCAGGUGUAGCGGUGAAAUGCAUAGAUAUCUGAAGGAAUACCAGUGGCGAAGGCGGCUUCCUGGCCUAAAACUGACGCUGAGGUGCGAAAGCGUGGGUAGCAAACGGGAUUAGAAACCCCAGUAGUCC